Small nucleolar RNA from Hucho hucho (huchen), 99 nucleotides. Its record names the gene SNORD16. It matches the Rfam family "Small nucleolar RNA SNORD16". Rfam says of the family: U16 is a member of the C/D class of snoRNA which contain the C (UGAUGA) and D (CUGA) box motifs. The record is from Ensembl. NCBI's taxonomy places the organism in Eukaryota, Metazoa, Chordata, Actinopteri, Salmoniformes, Salmonidae.
UGCAGUGAUGGUGUAAUUUGCGUCCUACACUGUGAACAGUGACAUUAUGCCUGAUGUCGUAUGCUGGCACACGUGGCUGACGAACCUUGAGUCUGAGCA